ACAAGCCAUCCAAGGUUAUUGAUGGUAUACCACGGAUGAUGGCCUUUCCUGGAGUUGCCAUACAGAGUUAAUGCCUGCCUACUGGAAGACAACAGAAUGUAUGAAUUAUUUAAUAAAAUGAGUAGGAUCAAACUUCCGAAUGUGUUGGUGUAUAAUAUAGGCGAUGUUUACGAGUACUAAGAGAUACAGUGAUCGUCGGAUCAUCUUUGGUUGUCAUCAACC
Molecule: long non-coding RNA, 222 nt
Filed under: Gossypium raimondii (Peruvian cotton)
Lineage: Eukaryota; Viridiplantae; Streptophyta; Magnoliopsida; Malvales; Malvaceae
Description: long non-coding RNA (GRAI_LNC004783)
Source: RNAcentral